Molecule: ribosomal RNA, 952 nt
Filed under: Didymella acetosellae
Lineage: Eukaryota; Fungi; Ascomycota; Dothideomycetes; Pleosporales; Didymellaceae
Description: partial large subunit ribosomal RNA
Rfam family: Eukaryotic large subunit ribosomal RNA
Source: RNAcentral
UGCCCUAGUAACGGCGAGUGAAGCGGCAACAGCUCAAAUUUGAAAUCUGGCGUCUUUGGCGUCCGAGUUGUAAUUUGCAGAGGGCGCUUUGGCAUUGGCAGCGGUCCAAGUUCCUUGGAACAGGACGUCACAGAGGGUGAGAAUCCCGUACGUGGUCGCUAGCCUUUACCGUGUAAAGCCCCUUCGACGAGUCGAGUUGUUUGGGAAUGCAGCUCUAAAUGGGAGGUAAAUUUCUUCUAAAGCUAAAUACUGGCCAGAGACCGAUAGCGCACAAGUAGAGUGAUCGAAAGAUGAAAAGCACUUUGGAAAGAGAGUUAAAAAGCACGUGAAAUUGUUGAAAGGGAAGCGCUUGCAGCCAGACUUGCCUGUAGUUGCUCAUCCGGGUUUCUACCCGGUGCACUCUUCUAUAGGCAGGCCAGCAUCAGUUUGGGCGGUUGGAUAAAGGUCUCUGUCAUGUACCUCUCUUCGGGGAGAACUUAUAGGGGAGACGACAUGCAACCAGCCUGGACUGAGGUCCGCGCAUCUGCUAGGAUGCUGGCGUAAUGGCUGUAAGCGGCCCGUCUUGAAACACGGACCAAGGAGUCUAACAUCUAUGCGAGUGUUUGGGUGUCAAGCCCGAGCGCGUAAUGAAAGUGAACGGAGGUGGGAACCUUUCGGGGUGCACCAUCGACCGAUCCUGAUGUCUUCGGAUGGAUUUGAGUAAGAGCAUAGCUGUUGGGACCCGAAAGAUGGUGAACUAUGCUUGAAUAGGGUGAAGCCAGAGGAAACUCUGGUGGAGGCUCGCAGCGGUUCUGACGUGCAAAUCGAUCGUCAAAUUUGGGCAUAGGGGCGAAAGACUAAUCGAACUAUCUAGUAGCUGGUUCCUGCCGAAGUUUCCCUCAGGAUAGCAGUAACGUUUUCAGUUUUAUGAGGUAAAGCGAAUGAUUAGAGGCCUGGGGGUUGAAACAACCUU